CCAAAGGCCGGCCCUGGAUGUAUGUACCGUUACCACGCUGGCCAACGUGAUGACGUCAUCACGGGUCAUGCGAGAUUUCGGGCUAGAUCUUCAAUCAAGAUGGCGGCGGCCGAUCAAAUGGAGGAAAGAGCAAAAGUUCAUCAGUUAUGACCACGAGAGGCUUCAAUGGCAUCUAGACCCCGGGCUACGAAGGUCGUUAAAUGAGAUGAGAGGUGGUGGAGGAACAGACCCAAAUGUCAGACGUUGACGCAGACUACAGAGAUGGAUAAGGAGAACUAAGCCUUCAAGUGACCACCAAGAGUUUCCUGUGUGUGAGAGCCCAAGAAAAACCCUAUAGGUGUUAUCCCACGGUGCAAGGGGCUUACCGUACUACAGAUACCUUCAACCUUCUGUGGAAAAAAAACUUGCUGGAUGAGUUACAGAAAGAAAGAAAAUGUCUUCUACAACGUGUGCGAGGAUCUUCUUUCUGAUGCCGAAGCUUGGAUGUCUGCCUGGGUAAUUCUUUCAUGGGUAAAGUCUGCUUCAAUUCAUGAAUUCACCCACUUGGACUUGUGCCAUGACCUUGCUAAUUACAAAGACAGACUGGAAAAUAUAGUUUAAAAAAAAAACUGGUUGCCCACAUCUGGCUCUGGUGUGAGUAACUAGAAUUGUGGGUGCACUGCAGGGUCUCAGGAUCUUUACAUGAGAAUGUUUUAUUGAAGAUUUUUGUUUACUAUUUUUAUUUCAUUCAUAUUCUCCGUGCAUUCAGUACUUGGAAUUCCCAUUGUGUGAUUCAUACCCCUUUAGUUUCUGGAUCAAGGAGAAAACUGAGCAGUUAGAUUAUCGUAAUAUUGUAACUUUACAAAAAUAUUUCAUGCUUGUUUUAAUAUAAAUAAGGCCUCAUGCACACGGCCGUUGUUGUGGUCCGCAUCCGAGCAGCAUUUUUUGCGGCUUGGGUGGGGACCCAUUCACUUCAAUGGGGC
Long non-coding RNA from Bufo gargarizans (Asiatic toad), 962 nucleotides. RefSeq lists it as uncharacterized. The record is from RefSeq and is a predicted model, not a curated record. The transcript is spliced from 3 exons. NCBI's taxonomy places the organism in Eukaryota, Metazoa, Chordata, Amphibia, Anura, Bufonidae.